Long non-coding RNA from Ostrea edulis (European flat oyster), 664 nucleotides. RefSeq lists it as uncharacterized. The transcript has 2 exons. The record is from RefSeq and is a predicted model, not a curated record. Lineage: Eukaryota; Metazoa; Mollusca; Bivalvia; Ostreida; Ostreidae.
CUUUCACUUUCGAUUUACUACUUCCGGGCAGCAGUCGAAAAAUGUCACUUUGUUUUGCGUUGGUUAUGCUCAGAUGACAAGUGUCAAAAUGAACCUACAGCCUAUAUAGAUUCCCUACUUAUGCAAAAAGAAGAAGAAGUGGAUUUAUAGUUGCAGAUGCUGUUAUAUACAUCAUUUCCUUCAGAAGUAUCAAUGUGUUGGCGGCUGUUAUGAAGAGAAUGGGGCCCAUUUUAACAACUUCUAGGAUGGGCAGUACUUGGGUUCAUACCAGUGAUCAAUUUCUCAUGACUCUUAUGAAGUUGCACCUAAAUCUAAGGGAUCUACAUUUAGCAGGCCAGAGGGCUCAAUGCCGAAUUUACCUCUGAAAAAAUCGCAAUGGAUACAACAAACAUAACACUGAAUUUAACUUUAAAAUUGAAUAACUAGUCAUUAUCUGACAGCAACUACAUUGUGCAAAAUUUGUCACACAGCAAAGGCUAUCACUUGUGUAGCAUAAUUGUUCUGAAUUCUAUCCAGAAUCCACCUCUGAUGGUGACAUUGUUGAUCACUGAGGUGUAUUGGAGAUAUUGAAGCCAUAUGAUAUAUGAUUCUUGCUAAUAAAGGAUUUGAUAUAUUUGAUAAACUUUAAUCAGGAGUGACAUUAAACAUAUCACCUUUUCUUUCA